RNAcentral lists this ribosomal RNA (997 nucleotides) under uncultured bacterium. RNAcentral describes it as "bacterial SSU rRNA". It matches the Rfam family "Bacterial small subunit ribosomal RNA", at positions 355 to 1375 of the family's 1533-position model. The record is from RNAcentral.
UGGGGGAUAUUGCACAAUGGGGGAAACCCUGAUGCAGCGACGCCGCGUGAGGGAAGACGGUCCUCUGGAUUGUAAACCUCUGUCUUCGGGGACGAAACGAGACGGUACCCGAGGAGGAAGCCACGGCUAACUACGUGCCAGCAGCCGCGGUAAUACGUAGGUGGCAAGCGUUGUCCGGAAUUACUGGGUGUAAAGGGAGCGUAGGCGGGCAGGCAAGUCAGGCGUGAAAUAUAUCGGCUCAACCGGUAACGGCGCUUGAAACUGCAGGUCUUGAGUGAAGUAGAGGUUGGCGGAAUUCCUAGUGUAGCGGUGAAAUGCGUAGAUAUUAGGAGGAACACCAGUGGCGAAGGCGGCCAACUGGGCUUUUACUGACGCUGAGGCUCGAAAGUGUGGGGAGCAAACAGGAUUAGAUACCCUGGUAGUCCACACCGUAAACGAUGAUUACUAGGUGUGGGGGGACUGACCCCUUCCGUGCCGGAGUUAACACAAUAAGUAAUCCACCUGGGGAGUACGGCCGCAAGGUUGAAACUCAAAGGAAUUGACGGGGGCCCGCACAAGCAGUGGAGUAUGUGGUUUAAUUCGACGCAACGCGAAGAACCUUACCAGGUCUUGACAUCGUAUGCAUAAUGUAGAGAUACACGAAGUCCUUCGGGACAUACAGACAGGUGGUGCAUGGUUGUCGUCAGCUCGUGUCGUGAGAUGUUGGGUUAAGUCCCGCAACGAGCGCAACCCUUGUAUUUAGUUGCUACGCAAGAGCACUCUAGAUAGACUGCCGUGGACAACACGGAGGAAGGUGGGGAUGACGUCAAAUCAUCAUGCCCCUUAUGACCUGGGCUACACACGUACUACAAUGGCAAUAGAACAGAGGGAAGCGACUCAGCGAUGAGAAGCAGAUCCCGAAAAAUUGUCUCAGUUCGGAUUGCAGGCUGCAACCCGCCUGCAUGAAGUCGGAAUUGCUAGUAAUCGCGGAUCAGCAUGCCGCGGUGAAUACGUUCCC